Molecule: long non-coding RNA, 1300 nt
Filed under: Piliocolobus tephrosceles (Ugandan red Colobus)
Lineage: Eukaryota; Metazoa; Chordata; Mammalia; Primates; Cercopithecidae
Description: lncRNA (ENSPTEG00000033230.1)
Source: RNAcentral
CCAGCAUGUGCCUGGCACCCAGUAGGGACUCCACAAAUAUUACUUGAGUAAAUGAAUGAGGCAGAAGCUAUUAUGAUUAUUUUGUUAUUGUUCUCAUUAUCAUUGUCAUGGUUCUUAUUAUUGUUUUUAUUGUUAUUCUUAUGAGGUCCUUCGAAUAAUGCCACCGGGCUUGAGAGUAUUGUGCCCUCUCCCUGCCCCUCUCCAAAAGCUGCAUUAUCUCUCUGCAUAGCCCCUGUUGGCUGUGAGCCUCCUCUGAUUUCUUUGCAACCUUCCUCUUUGGGGCUGCUGCUGUCCCCUGCCUCUCACUCUGCAGCUGUGAACCGGAGACACCUGCACAUCCAUGCGACUCCCUGCAGCCAAACGAACAUCUUCACAAGGAACCCCGUGUGCACAAGGAUGUUACACAGAAAUGCCUGGAAAGCAAGGAGCAGCUAUCAGAAUGUUUGGUGACGCAGCUCCUCCUGUCGUGGUUCCUUCAGCACGGACUUCACGUUCAGCAGGCCCAUGAGGUGUUCCCUUUCAGAUGAGCUCCAAGGUCUUAAGAGAGCAUCUCUGGUCUCCAUGAGUCCCUCUGAACAACGGUCCUGAGCAAGAACCACCUAUAACCAUCUGCUCAAAUAACUCAGGGGAAGUCAAAGCUUUCUAUGUGGAAGGUAACUGAAACCACAUACACAGACCACUGCAGCACUCCUGACAUUAUGGAGCUUGGAAAUGAUUCCAAACGCAAACAUAGCUUGCUACGUGAGUGACAUGUUUUUCUAUGACAAGAACUUGGAGUGUAAUCCUUCCCCCAUCAAGAAUGUGACAUCACACCUUAUCAGAUCGUAUGCAUAAGCUACCAACCUCAACCACUGAACUUCAAACUACGUGAAAACCUAAGGGUUUGACAGACACUUUGAGAGCUUGGGCUGUGGCAAGCUACACUCUGUCAGCCUCUCUUAGACAGGGCCCCACCCUGCUAGCCUUUGAACUUGGAAGCCUCGCCUGCCAACACUGGCGCCGCCCUCUAGCAUUGACGGACGGUAUGUGUCUUUGUGAAUCUCCGUUGUGUUGGACGGCUUCUCUCCCAAGAGCUGCUCUUGGGAGACACGCCACACUUUAAUGAGCCUUCGCUCUCCACUGAGGCCUGCUUCCAUCUUAAUUGAGCAAGUAGACUUUGGUAACUUUGGAACUCACUCACUCUGUGACUAAUACACCCUGUCUACCCAGAGCAUUCCCUGUGAGAUUUGUUCAUGUUGCUCUCCCCCUCCUUAAGCAUUGUGAACCUAAGACAAAUAUCAUCUUUGUAGGGCAAUAAACC